AGGAGUAAACCUGAGAAACCCGAAAGGUCGAAGGAUGAAAUUCAUUCGUGUUUCGUUAUUGGCAAAAUUGCAUAUGUUAGACGAUAAAUAAGUCUAAUUAUCUAUAUGAUGAUUUUUGAUUUAUAUGUUGCAACAUAUCUAUUUUUGGAUCUAAUGAUGAACACGUGCAUUUUUCUUCUGGUAGGACGUUGCGAUCCGUUAGAAUUAUUAUCGAUCUAUGAUUUAUAUGGUAUAGUUCAUUGAUACAUAUAUAUUUUUUUAUAUAUGAAAAUAUUAAUGAAGCUUUACAAUCUGAUUGAUUUAUCUGACGGUAGAAUUAUGGUUAAAAGUCGCUAUGAUAUUCUUAGCGUUAGAGGUUGGACAAGUUUAUGAAUUGUGUAAAGGCAUUAUUAUUACUUGUAGUAAUUAUGUUCUCGGUAAUUGAUUUUAUAUUAAUUCUGAGCCGUUUAUUUACUGUUUGUUCAACAUAUCUUUAACAGACUUUAUUAUUUUUUUGAUAAAACCAAUCGGCAACGCUAUAGCUUUGGGUACUUUCAGGACCCGUCUUGAAACACGGACCAAGGAGUCUAGCAUGUUCGCAAGCCAUUGGGAUAUUAAAACCUAUAGGCAUAAUGAAAGUAAAAAUUAUUUCAUCUUGUAUGAAAUGAAGGGAAGAUAAAUAUCGAUUUCGUAUUUUAUUAUAUGAUACGUUAUUUCGCAUUCCCGGGGCGUUUAAAUUUUAUUUAUUUGUUUACAUUUAAAUGAGAUUAUGCGCACCAAGAG
RNAcentral lists this ribosomal RNA (762 nucleotides) under Platypus denticollis. RNAcentral describes it as "eukaryotic LSU rRNA". Lineage: Eukaryota; Metazoa; Arthropoda; Insecta; Coleoptera; Curculionidae. The record is from RNAcentral.